CCUGUCGCAACCCUGGUCCUUUCCGCAGGUUCCGAGAUCAUGGCACCGCCCAGUGGGCGGGCCCUCAAGCUGAGGGAGAGGGGGUCUGCUGCCGGAAAGAGGCCAGAGCCUGUGGGCACCGGAGAGGUAUACUGGAAUCUGAUGCUAGUUAUACAUCUCUAAACUGUGAAGAGGAUGGUUUUCCAUCUGUACCAGUUCUGGGCCUGCUUCUUGAAUCCACACCUCUGCUCCACAUCACUGGCCAGCCAAUACCUGCAAGUUAUAUUCUCUGACUUUCCCGCUCCAGGGACUUACUUCACCAAUCUUAUCCAAGGGAGGACCCAAAACCUUCCUGUGGGAAAGAGCCUCUUCUCACAUCUCUGUUGAGAUCUGAGGGCCACUUGCUAAAAUAUGCAGGACCCGGUGCCUCUCAGCAAUACAGUCCCAGUGGAUGGGGGAGCGAGGUGGAAGGGAGCCACCAUCACCUGCCAACGGAAAGGGAAGAGAGGGGAGGAGCUGGAACAAUCUGUGUGGGUUUGGGACAGUGAUUUUUGAGUGAUCAGAUGGUCUCCAGCUCCCUGUUAAGUGUCUGCACCAACUUGUGUUGAUUCCCAAACGUACCUCACUACCGUUCAAGGAGAAGUCCUUUCCCACCACAGCCGGGCUGUUCUGCUGACCCUCAACCCUCUCCACACUCCUGCUGAGCUGACUCAUCCUUCAGGGCCUGAUUGCCACCGCCGCUCCCGCCAGGCACAGCUGUUGUUGGCCACACCUGCAGCCAUGCCUCUGGGGUCCUGGGCAAUGCCACUGCCCCUGCUUGAUUGCAGGCCACAGCAUGCACAGGAGGCUAUCGCUUCUUGGGGGAAUACCUGAACACCGCAAGCAUGCUUUGUCAACGUCUUCCCCUAUUUUGAUCUGGUGCCUGGACCUUCCUUCCAUGCCUCCCCCUCCCACACCCAGGCCCGGCAGCACUCUGAUCCAGGAGCCUCCCUCUGUGUGACAGGGAUAACCUGGAUGCUCACAGACCAUGUCAGCCUGCGGGAACGAAAGAGACCACGAUAUCAUUUGGACACAUAUGUUCCUAAUUCAAUACUGCGUCAUCCUAACCGAGGUAAACUGCAAGGCUCAGAAUCGUCACAAGCUCGCUGUGCCCUUGGCAUCUGGGGGAGUCCCAGCAUUGCCCCAUGCAUGCUUCUGCAGCGGUCAGAUCUGUUGCUUUUGCUGCCUCCUCCGCUCUGCCCUGGACAUCAGUGGGGCACAUGUUCCCGUGGCAGGGCUUGCCCCUGAACGUCUCUCAAUAGUCUGUCGGACUGCUGGUCAGUGCGUGUGCCCCGCAUACUACCUCUUGCCUCCAUGGGUUCCUUUCCCUCUUUCUUCUCCCCCAACCCCGAGUUGUAACAGAGAACACACAGCUGCCCUGCCGGAUUCUACAUCCCGCAGACUUCCCACAGAUAAGUAUGGCUAUGUAGCUGUGGUUUGUUGUCAAUAGGAGGUGAGCAGAAGCGAUGUGGCAGCUUCCUUGGCUUACCCCUGGGGCUGUGGACUCAGAAAUGGGAGCCUCAUUUUGAGAAUAGUAGCAUCAAGCCACCAACCUGGGUCCCAGAUGACUCUUUGGGACAGAGCUGGCCCUGCCAGCUGUGAACUACUCAUAUCUAGACUUUUCAUGUGAGAAAAAUAAACUUGCAUCCCAUUUAAGUUAGCCUGUAUCCUAAGUAAUAGAGUAUUGACUCAAGAACAGUCAAUCUGCAGGCGUCCAGUCUAAUUUAGAUCCUCUUACACCCCUUUAUGGCACCCUGUACUUCUCCUUCAAAGCACGUAUCACAACUUGCAAUUAAAUAAUUAUUUGGGUAA
Neofelis nebulosa (Clouded leopard) is the source of this 1830-nucleotide long non-coding RNA. RefSeq lists it as uncharacterized. The record is from RefSeq and is a predicted model, not a curated record. NCBI's taxonomy places the organism in Eukaryota, Metazoa, Chordata, Mammalia, Carnivora, Felidae. The transcript has 3 exons.